CCUACGGGAGGCAGCAGUGGGGAAUAUUGCGCAAUGGGCGAAAGCCUGACGCAGCGACGCCGCGUGAGGGAUGAAGGUCUUCGGAUCGUAAACCUCUGUCAGCAGGGAAGAACGGUCACUGUGCUAAUCAGCAGUGAAUUGACGGUACCUGCAAAGGAAGCAGCGGCUAACUCCGUGCCAGCAGCCGCGGGAAUACGGAGGGUGCGGGCGUUAAUCGGAAUUACUGGGCGUAAAGCGCUCGUAGGCGGUAUGUCAAGUCAAGGGUGAAAUGCACGCGCUCAACGUGGGCACUGCCUUUGAAACUGGCAAGCUGGAGUGCGUGAGAGGAAAGGGGAAUUCCAGGUGUAGGAGUGAAAUGCGUAGAUAUCUGGAGGAACAUCAGUGGCGAAGGCGAUUAACUGGCACAUAACUGACGCUGAGGAGCGAAAGCGUGGGUAGCAAACAGGAUUAGAUACCCGUGUAGUC
Molecule: ribosomal RNA, 465 nt
Filed under: uncultured bacterium
Lineage: Bacteria
Description: partial 16S ribosomal RNA
Rfam family: Bacterial small subunit ribosomal RNA
Source: RNAcentral